UGCGUAGGUGGCAUGGUAAGUCGGAUGUGAAAUCUCCGAGCUCAACUCGGAAAUGGCAUUGGAAACUGCCGUGCUCGAGGGUUGGAGGGGGGACUGGAAUGCUUGGUGUAGCAGUGAAAUGCGUAGAUAUCAAGCGGAACACCAGUGGCGAAGGCGAGUCCCUGGACAACUCCUGACACUGAGGCACGAAAGCUAGGGGAGCAAACAGGAUUAGAUACCCUGGUAGUCCUAGCCGUAAACGGUGCACGUUUGCUGUAAAAGGAAUCGACCCCUUUUGUGGCGUAGCCAACGCGUUAAACGUGCCGCCUGGGAAGUACGGUCGCAAGAUUAAA
Molecule: ribosomal RNA, 332 nt
Filed under: uncultured bacterium
Lineage: Bacteria
Description: bacterial SSU rRNA
Rfam family: Bacterial small subunit ribosomal RNA
Source: RNAcentral